UGGGGAAUAUUGGGCAAUGAGCGAAAGCCUGACCCAGCAACGCCGCGUGAAGGAAGAAGGUUUUCGGAUUGUAAACUUCUGUCUUCAGGGAAGAAGGAAGUGACGGUACCUGAGGAGGAAGCCCCGGCUAACUACGUGCCAGCAACCGCGGUAAUACGUAGGGGGCGAGCGUUGUCCGGAAUGACUGGGCGUAAAGGGCGCGUAGACGGCUUUUUAAGUCUGGAGUGAAAGUCCUGCUUUCAAGGUGGGAAUUGCUUUGGAGACUGGGAGGCUUGAGUGCGGAAGAGGUAAGUGGAAUUCCCAGUGUAGCGGUGAAAUGCGUAGAGAUUGGGAGGAACACCAGUGGCGAAGGCGACUUACUGGGCCGUAACUGACGUUGAUGCGCGAAAGCGUGGGGAGCGAACAG
RNAcentral lists this ribosomal RNA (406 nucleotides) under uncultured bacterium. Its description in RNAcentral is "bacterial SSU rRNA". It matches the Rfam family "Bacterial small subunit ribosomal RNA", at positions 355 to 775 of the family's 1533-position model. The record is from RNAcentral.